CCCACCAGGAUACCUUUGCCUUACGUUCUCCACUCUGCUCAGGGCAUCGAAGGACUUUUACUAUGUUGUUUGUCUAUUGUUCUUUCCUGCAAUGUUAUUGAAGACACGCGUGUAAAAAAAUAAAAUAAUAAUAAUUAAAAGGGGAAGAGAAAAUAAUUUCCCAGCAGGCGUUUGACAAAUGACCCUCGUCCAAACAGAGGGCCUUUGUGCGUGUCAUGUUUUUCACCAUAAGAGAUUAAGACUGUGUUAUACACCAUCACGCAUGUUUUUCAAAGUUGUAAUCAUCCCUAUGCACUGGAAAACGUUGUUUAUUGCAUGGGUGAUCUUGCUAGAUGCUGAAGUGUUGCAAAAUUGCUGUGCAGCAGCAUCAACAAUUGGUCUGUGUGUUUGAAUGACAUAUCCCAAAUAGCUUUAUUCAUACUAGAAAAUAAACAUUUCUCUGCGGCCUGUUCAGGAGGGUGCAAUGUUACAGAAUGUUCAGAUAGAAAUGGAUCGUGUGGAAACGAUACAAUGGUAUUUUAGGUAGAGGAUUUUAGGUAGAGGAUUGGAAUUGUAUGCUCUGUUUUACAUGUCUAUCUGCAACAUUUGUCUCACCUCAUUGAAUACACCCUUUGUAUCUGUUGUCAUCCCACAAAGUGGGACAUUUUCAAAGGGCUUCCAAUAGAGGAGCACAACCAGAACCCCGUGAUGGUGCUAAACUCACUACGUCAAUCUGAUGGUGAAUGUUAGGGAAUUAUUUAAUUUUUAGAUUGUCUUCUCACGAAGUGAGACAUUUAACAGAAUUAAUCCAUCAAUAGCAAUCAAGCUAAACUGCUAAAUUGUGCUCUGUUGGAGAACAGAAAAAUUUUAACAAAUCUAGAUAUUUCAGGAGAAACUUAACCUAACCCAUGAAACUUGGUACUAAUAAAUGUACACUAAACAAAACAAUGGACCUUCUCAAAAUGUUUGCAAUAACAGGCUUUUUUACUGCGGGAGUCUGUACUGAACUUAGUCUUUUUCGAGACUAUAUUGAACUGAUCUGUGUAAAUCUGCACCUCCAUGUUUCAAAGACCAUGUGCAAUGGCUCUGUAGUACUCCUCUGUAUUCCAGUUGGUUGAUUGUAUAUGUUACGUGACCAUUGCCUGUAUUACUUUCUAGGUGAAAUCAAGUUCUUUUUUUAAAACUUUUUUUUUCUCACCAUUCUUGUAAACAUCUUUCUGUCAAUAAUUAUUUAUCUCACGUUAUCCUCAUGAUUAUAACACAGAAUUAAAGUACUUUUUUAUUUUCAGAUUUUCAGAUUUAUAUUCAGUAAAGAGUAUGUAAGAUGUUGACUGUAAUGUAAGCGAAGUACGAAGCAAAUUAAAUUUAUACAUUUAAGUAUGAAUUUCUUUCUCAAUUGGUAAACUAAAUUGCAUUAAUAUUUUACAAAUGCAUAAGCCUGUUGGAUAUUAUGUCAGAUCUCUGAUAUAUGCCUAUUUCUGAUUUCAGAUCAGUUUUUUUUUUUUUUUUUUACAGUGAAAUUAUGUUGAUUUAAACCUCCUAUACAUUAACACGUUUGUAAUUGUAACGCUAUUACAGAUGUCCAUAUUUGAUAUGUGUAUUUAUUUUAGAAGUUGCCAGCAGACAUCUUACUGAAGUCCUGCCUUUCUCUGGUUUUUCCCACAUUGCUUUGCGGUGUACAUAAAAGGCGUGCGCAAAUUACCACCACGAGGUCUGUUCAUUUCAUUUGAUUAAUAGUACAGCGAAAAUCUAGCAAAUCGUGUGACAUCGAUGCAAAAAAUAAUAAUCUUGAAGAAUGUUUUGAUAAAGAAAUGACUUCGUCAUUUGUUGGCGAGAUGAUGACUGGGUAUUUGAUGCGGAUCUGGCAGUGACUGGGUAUUUGAUGCAGAUCUGGCAUGUCUUCCGAUGCAAUGUUGCAGGAUGGAUGACAAAUUGAUACAGGACACAUGAAUACUGUGGGUGGUGGAAAGGAUGUGACUUGGACCAGGAGGUCAGUUCAGUACUGAACAUCCUGAUGCAACAUGGAGGCCUGCAUAAGUCAUAGCAACCAUGGAGAGGCUCUUGAUUUCUUCAGUGCUGUGCAACAACUCACUCUGUGGGUAUUGGCUGACAGCCGUGGUAUAUCAGAAGGCUUCAGCAAGAAGAGUGCCCUGGAAGGUCUUGUUUUUCAUGGUGAAAUUGACUACAAAAAUGGCACCUUGUGAAAUUGCAGCACAAAUUGAUAUAAGCGUUUACUAUCCCUUGUCCAAUUCCAAUAAAUGUUUUGGGGAAAACCCGACAAAGUA
Long non-coding RNA from Oncorhynchus gorbuscha (pink salmon), 2264 nucleotides. RefSeq lists it as uncharacterized. The record is from RefSeq and is a predicted model, not a curated record. The transcript has 4 exons. NCBI's taxonomy places the organism in Eukaryota, Metazoa, Chordata, Actinopteri, Salmoniformes, Salmonidae.